RNAcentral lists this ribosomal RNA (600 nucleotides) under uncultured bacterium. RNAcentral describes it as "bacterial SSU rRNA". It matches the Rfam family "Bacterial small subunit ribosomal RNA", at positions 72 to 667 of the family's 1533-position model. The record is from RNAcentral.
GUCUGURGCAAUACAGAUGCUGGCGACCGGCAAACGGGUGCGGAACACGUACAGAACCUUCCUUCGAGCGGGGAAUAGCCCAGAGAAAUUUGGAUUAAUACCCCAUAGUAUAUUAGAGUGGCAUCACUUUGAUAUUAAAGAUUUAUCACUUGAAGAUGGCUGUGCGGCUGAUUAGGUAGUUGGCGGGGUAACGGCCCACCAAGCCAGCGAUCAGUAACUGGUGURAGAGCACGACCAGUCACACGGGCACUGAGACACGGGCCCGACUCCUACGGGAGGCAGCAGUAAGGAAUAUUGGUCAAUGGACGCAAGUCUGAACCAGCCAUGCCGCGUGGAGGAUGAAGGUCCUCUGGAUUGUAAACUUCUUUUAUAUGGGACGAAAAAAGGGUUUUCUAACUCGUCUGACGGUACCAUAUGAAUAAGCACCGGCUAACUCCGUGCCAGCAGCCGCGGUAAUACGGAGGGUGCAAGCGUUAUCCGGAUUCACUGGGUUUAAAGGGUGCGUAGGUGGGUUGGUAAGUCAGUGGUGAAAUCCCCGAGCUUAACUUGGGAACUGCCAUUGAUACUAUCAGUCUUGAAUACCGUGGAGGUUAGCGGAAU